GUGUGAUCUCGUGCUUAUCCGGCCAGAUGGGGCCGGAGAAACUUGGG
Molecule: small RNA, 47 nt
Filed under: Sinorhizobium meliloti 2011
Lineage: Bacteria; Pseudomonadati; Pseudomonadota; Alphaproteobacteria; Hyphomicrobiales; Rhizobiaceae
Description: putative ncRNA
Source: RNAcentral